GAUGAACGCUAGCGGCAGGCUUAAUACAUGCAAGUCGAGGGGUAUAUGUUUUAGUUUUCGGACGAAGAUAUAGAGACCGGCGCACGGGUGCGUAACGCGUAUGCAACCUACCUAUUACACAAGGAUAGCUCGAAGAAAUUCGAAUUAAUACUUGAUAGUAUAUCAAGAUGGCAUCAUUUAGAUAUUAAAGAUUUAUCGGUAAUAGAUGGGCAUGCGUGUCAUUAGCUAGUUGGUGAUUUAACAGCUCACCAAGGCAACGAUGACUAGCGGGUCUGAGAGGAUGAUCCGCCACACUGGUACUGAGAUACGGACCAGACUCCUACGGGAGGCAGCAGUAGGGAAUAUUGGUCAAUGGAGGCAACUCUGAACCAGCCAUGCCGCGUGAAGGAAGACAGCUUUCAUAGUUGUAAACUUCUUUUAUCAUGGAACAAAAUUAUCUAUGCGUAGGUAUUUGAGUGUACAUGAAGAAUAAGC
Molecule: ribosomal RNA, 474 nt
Filed under: uncultured bacterium
Lineage: Bacteria
Description: bacterial SSU rRNA
Rfam family: Bacterial small subunit ribosomal RNA
Source: RNAcentral